Malus domestica (apple) is the source of this 1183-nucleotide non-coding RNA. The record is from RefSeq and is a predicted model, not a curated record. Lineage: Eukaryota; Viridiplantae; Streptophyta; Magnoliopsida; Rosales; Rosaceae.
CCAUUUUUGUCGGUUUUUUUGCCCCCACUCAGACGCUCUCUCUUUCGUUUAUUCAUUAUUCUCUAUUCACUUCUUCAUUAUUCUUCUAGAUUUUUCCAAUUCCUCCUCUGAAAUCCCCAAAAACACAUACUCAGACCUCCUCUAAUGAAAAUCCAAAUCCAAGCCUAGCGCCAUUUAGCAUUGCCCCAGACCUCCUCUAUCAUCAUCCUCAUUUCUCACCCCUGGCAUAGCGAUUUCCUCAAAGCUGAGGUUUGCACUGGCGAUUUCUGAUUUCAUUCUCUCAGAGGUAAAGGUUCUCCCCUUUUCUUCUCUUUUGUGCAGGAGAUUCGGAUCCGUGAAACAUCCGAGAGAUAUGGUGAAGAUAACCACUUCAUGUCAUAGAUCCGAGAAGCAUGAAGGUUCCAGAUCAGAAAAACAAGGUAAAAAAAAAACAAGGAAAUGACCGACCAAGAUCCCAACGCGCUGGCUCCGACGGCGACGGGGAUGAUCGUCGAUGAUACGUACGAGUUCUCAGCUCCGCGCUUCUUCGACUUCAUAAAGGACGACAGUGAAUACGACAGCGCAAGGCCGAGCUCUGGUACGAUUAGGGCUUUCUCAAGUCGGUAGAACUCCCAUUUUUCUGCUCCACUCGGUUCCCCCUCCAGAUCCGAGCCGGGUCUGGGUCGUCGGAUUUGCUCGAAUCCGAAAAUGUCAUACCCAUGAAGGCAAUUUCUCAUUUUCUUCGUCCAUUUAUAAUAUAUAUUGAAAAUUUAUGAGUGAUUUGAAUUUUGGGGUGUUUGAUUGUGUAGAUUACAGGGACCAGGAGAGUGGGAAGAUUCUGAAUUUGGUGUUUGUUUAGGCGGAUGAGGGCUCCGAGCUCAAAGUUGAUGUCCCUGUUGUAUCAUCCUUUCUGUGUGUGCGUGGGUGGAUAUUUACAGAAUGUGGAAAUGAAUUGGAAGGGGAAAUGGUAAGUUGAUAAUCACGUUGUGCGGGAAGGAAGGAAGGAACUGUCUCUAUCCCCUCUCUGGCUCAACUUGAAAGGGAAAGAAAUAAUUCAGAAAGUUUUUAUAUUUUUUUUAUUAUUGUUAUAUUUUCUGUCGGAUUUAUCCGACAAGAAUGCUUUUAUUUAUUCUUAUUCAUAAAUUUUCUGUCGGUUAUAUCUGACAGAACUUCUGUCGGUUUUAGCCGACAGAAAAUGCUCUAA